Molecule: long non-coding RNA, 1225 nt
Organism: Passer domesticus (house sparrow)
Lineage: Eukaryota; Metazoa; Chordata; Aves; Passeriformes; Passeridae
Exons: 2
Source: RefSeq, a predicted model, not a curated record
GCUCGAGUCAUGGAAUGAAGGCACCGCGCAGGCCUGGCACCGGCCUGGCCGGCCAGGCAGGGCUCACACAGCCUUGGGAAAAUGGCUAACAGGGAAAGCGCUUCCUAACGCUUCAGGCUGCAGAGGAUCAUGCCUCAGUAUCACACUGUCCCCAUGCCCACUUCAGACAGAACAGAGGGACCAGAUAGCUCCUGAAUAUUAACAAAUCCACUGGGAGAUUGAUUUACAGGGAAAAAAAGGAAGAAAAGAAAAACAACAGUGAAAUAUAUAGUGCAGUUGAGCAGUCGAGCCAAGUCUCUGGAGUUUGAAAGAUAAGGAAAAAUUCACUGCAGAGCUGUGGGAGGCAAGAAGAGGAUAGUGACCAGCAGCCACAGGUCGUUAUGUCUGAGACAAGCUCAGCUGGAAGAACAUCACUGUCUGCUGCCUAAGUCACUUCUAGACAUUUUGGAAAGAUGGAAACACAAGGGAAUUACUUCACAAAGGCAACAAAGAAAGAGGCAGAUAAACUGAAAUGCAGGUGACCAGAGAGAAUGCAGCUGAAUAAAGCUGGAGCCAGACAUGUCCUGCAAUCCAGGUGUGCUUUCAGCUCAGUUUUCACAGCAAAACUAAACCAUAUAUUCCUCUGCAAUGUACUGCCAUGGUAAUGGAAAGCUGUUCUAAUUUAGAAAUUUCCAAGUUUUUCCGAGAAGUUUAUCAAGUCACUCACAGCUUAAGCUGUAACUGUUUGAUGGCUUUGGUCCUGCUAUCCCUGGCACAGAGCAGCAACAGCUUGUGGAAGAUAUUUCUUCUCCAGUCUUCCUGGAUGAACAAAUUGUCAUGCAUUUCUCUUCUGCUGCCCUGGCACUCUGCUUGGCAGUGAGCACAGCACCUUUACAUGGAUCUGCUCACUCAAAACUUCUCAAAUCAAGGCUGCCCCAGCAGGGUCUGUCUCAUUUUCUCUUUCAAGAGCACACUCAGAAUAUCACAGCUACAUCUGAGCUUCAGCUUUCCAAAAUCACAAUCUGAAAGCAAGAUGUUGACAUUGUUUAAGGAGUUGUCUAUCAGUUAAAAAAAAAGUUGAAAGAAAAUAAGAGUUGUGCCACAAUUAUUCUCCUAGAAGAAGAAUUAAAAGUCUCUCUCAUUUUAGAACACAACUGGUCAAAGCACUACAAAAAAAAAGAAAAAAAAAAAAAAAGAAAAAAAGGAAAAUAAAAAGAAAAAAAGAAAGAAAAUGCAGCAUAAAUGG